Molecule: long non-coding RNA, 1066 nt
Organism: Lagenorhynchus albirostris (white-beaked dolphin)
Lineage: Eukaryota; Metazoa; Chordata; Mammalia; Artiodactyla; Delphinidae
Exons: 3
Source: RefSeq, a predicted model, not a curated record
CGGGCCCAGCCGCUCCGCGGCAUGUGGGAUCUUCCAGGACCGGGGCACGAACCCAUGUCCCCGACAUCAGCAGGCGGACUCUCAACCACUGCGCCACCAGGGAAGCCCAGUUAUUCAUUUUCUAAAAGUUUUCCAGGGUGUUUGGAUGGUGAACGACUGUGGAAGGUAGAGAUGGUGGUUCCCUUCAGAAUAAAGGGCAGGUUACUUAUGACCUUGGAAGACAGAGUGUGUCUCGCAAUGGAGCAAAUGGCAGCAUGGGGCCAUCUGGGUUCAUUUCUGCUGUAGUAGAAACAUAGACGCCACCUCUUUACCGUAAGAAAAUCAACACCGUGGACGUGAUGACCAAUGGCAGCUGAUGCUGAGGCUCAGAGCUGGGGAGGCCACAGGACUGAUGGCGCCUGAAGAGGACGCAUCCCACGGCGGGCCGUAGCUUCCUGGCACCCACCUCUAACCGUCAUGGAAGCCUGCAGUCACCAGCUCUUUCUAUUUUUUUAAGAGAAGCUGAAAAUCUAAAUUGAAAAACUUCGGCACAAAAUUGGCACAAAAUUUCUCAAAGAUACAGAUAGAACGAGCAAAACAUGAUUUGAUUUGAAGGCGGGUUCGUUUGUAACUUCUGAGCUACCUGUUCUUUAAAAAAAAUUCCUCCCAGGUAUUUCACCUCUGGGUCUCUUCCUCAAAACCCAUAAUUUUAGUCUAUUCUGAGACAACAUCAGACAACCUGAAUCGAGGGACAGUGUAUGACAUACCUGACCAGUAAUUUUCACAAUGGUCAAGGUCAUGAUAAACAAGGAAACACAGAAAAACGGUCACAGAUUGGAAGAGACGAAGGAGACAUGAUGACUGCAUGCCAUGUGGGAUUCUGGAACAUUAAUGGAGAAAUGGGUGAAAUCUGACUAAUGUCUGGAGUGUAGCUGAUGUCAGGGUACCAAUGUUAAUUUCUUAACUUGGACAAAUGAAGCGCGGUCAGGAAAGAUGUUAUCAUUAGUGGACACUGGGCUUAGGGUAUAUGGGAAAUGUUGGCACUACAUUUGCAACUUUUCUGUAAAUCUAAAUUUAUUCCAAAAUC